UCCAAAAGCUGAAAAAUCUAACUUAUUUUGAUUUUGUUGGAGUAGACCGUCGUGCCACUUCAAAAUUCUGAAUGCGUCUCAGAAGGUAUCGCUGAUCAAAUAAAGUUCGGAAUGCGAAGACGGCUUUCGUGUAUCAGUUUGACGUUCGGCCAGUCCAACCCUUUGGACACAUCUCCAUUAUCAUUCACGAUCUCCGCCGGCUCACAAAGCGAACUCUCACCAUCCACGGUUUCCGCUGACUUAUAGAGUAAAUUCUCACCAUCCAUAGGUACUGCUGGUCCCAUGAGUGUAUCUACUUAGAAUUGAACUCCCGAUACUCCUUACAUGUUGAUACCUUUCCACCGCGCCAGGCCCAUGGGGACGGUAUGGGAUGCCUAUUUGAAGCAUAAUCCUUAUGAUAAAUGGAGGUUUGAAGGAUUAUGAAUUGCUAAAUUAAAUUUUUAGUUGAGUGUACUUGUAGUAAGGAUUAUUUUUAUGCUAAGACAUAUCUAAGUAUGAAUAGAAUAGUAUUUAUUAUUGAAUUGUGGUUGCGCAAUAUUUAUCAUAUGUGACUUGACUGAUAUAUCAUAUACAUAUAUAAUAU
This is a long non-coding RNA of Malania oleifera, 583 nucleotides long. RefSeq lists it as uncharacterized. Lineage: Eukaryota; Viridiplantae; Streptophyta; Magnoliopsida; Santalales; Ximeniaceae. The transcript is spliced from 2 exons. The record is from RefSeq and is a predicted model, not a curated record.